RNAcentral lists this long non-coding RNA (220 nucleotides) under Panicum hallii. RNAcentral's name for it is "long non-coding RNA (PHAL_LNC000056)". Lineage: Eukaryota; Viridiplantae; Streptophyta; Magnoliopsida; Poales; Poaceae. The record is from RNAcentral.
AAGAAGCUAGAGGGGGAACAUAUAAACCAAUAGGAGACAUCAAAUAGAAGUUAACAUAAAUGCAUGCUGUUGAGAUUUGUGUAAAAACACACCCAAUCCAUACAUUGUACUCAUGAUUCGAGUCCAGCCUCAAACGAUUGCACUGGAAGUUGCAUAAAUUUCUACAGCAGCCAACAAGUGGAGAUGGGAAGAAAUCUGGUUUUUUUCUUUCCAUUUUUUG